Molecule: long non-coding RNA, 3531 nt
Organism: Acipenser ruthenus (sterlet)
Lineage: Eukaryota; Metazoa; Chordata; Actinopteri; Acipenseriformes; Acipenseridae
Exons: 2
Source: RefSeq, a predicted model, not a curated record
GGGUAGCAAGCGCUUUCGUAAAUGCGUCACUCUCUCGCUGUCAGAUCCAAAGUAAACGGAGAGCGAGUUGCUAUUCACAGUGGGUGUUUUCCUGGUAGGGUUCAUUCAUUUCAAAGAGCAUUCUUCUUCACUUUUACGCGCACGUAGUAAUAUUGUUGUUGUUGGCUGGGUGUAGUGAUUAUGACUGUAUUGCGUUUUUUGAUUACAUAUGAACAAGUAAGCAUAUUUGAAAAAAUCUGCUGCAAACUGAACAAGACUGAAAAUAUUGGCCUUCUUCAGAACAAGACGUAUUUUUGUAUACACUGCGACAUCUAUCUAGUACUGCAGUAGUACUGUGCUCUGCAUUGCAAAAUACUGAAAGUACUUUUCACGUGUUUGUUCCUCGCAAAGCACGUUACACGUUCCCCGUUUGUUCUCCAAUGCAGCUGGAUAGCUAGCACGGCACUGUGCUUUUGCUGUUAACACUGUCGUGACGUUUUCAACACUUCAAACCUUUUCAGCUUCGCAGUGUCUGUUGUGAACUCUCUUGAAUUACUUAUUUUUAAAUGCAAAAUAUGUCCUUUUUUUUCCUGUUUAAAACGUUCAUUGCUGUAUUGUAAUUGCAGGGCUCUAAGUAAACAUUGGGAACCUAAAUAAAAUCCUAUAAUACAUGGUUAGGAGCAAAGGUGCCCUCGCCCCACAUAUACACACAUAUGUGGAAACUGAUAGAGGGGCAUAAGUGCAUGUAACAUGAUUCAUAUGAAAGCUCGUGAUGAGAUCUACCCAGUACCAAAAGGACCUAAAUGAAAUCACAAACUGCAUUGAAUAAAGUGAGAAUUAGUGCGAGGAGGGCUUAAGUGUACAUACGCCCUGCUGGCACUGAGUAUUGCAUUGUGGGGUGGAUCAUGUGACCGCAGAUAGGACAAAAUGGCUGAAAUGAGAAGUAAAUAAAAGUAUUGUGUAAAACAAAAUCUAUCUGCAGAGGAUAUUUUACUUAAUUUAAUGGAAGAAUCAGACAAAGAAUCACCUUCAGAAUCAGAGCUGGACAAUGGCGAGUCCAAAUCAGACGAGACAGAUCCAGCAAUCUUAUCAGAUGUGAGAGACCAUAGAGAAAGAUCAACAAUGGAGAAGGGUCAGCCAGCAUUACAGGGCCUACACAAAGCAGCUGACUGAGCAAUUAGAACGUUGUGAGUUUACUGCUUUGCCUUUAAGCCAGGACACAUGUAAUGGAGGUACCAUCUCAGACAGAAAUGAUCCCAUUCAAUUAGAUCAGCAAAGAGGAAGAAAGAGACAGAGAAACCCAGAAAACCACAAAAAGGAUAAGAAAUGCAAAAGAUUAAGAAAUACAGGACAAGAGUUAUCAGGUGUGCAGCAUGUAGAUAUACUGCAGUUCAAAUGUUCAAGAGUUAGACAGAUAAAGGAUUUUUGAAAGUUUUGGGGUAUGGCUGACAAAACCAGGCAGCAAGAUUUUAAAAUAAACCAUGUCUUCAAAAGGGCAAAGAGGCAGCCCACAACAAAGGCUAGCUCAAAAAGGCAAAACACUUAGAGUACAGUCUCACUCUGGAUGAUAGGAAAGUUAGAGUUUGCAGGACAUUUUUCUUAAGACCCUUGACAUCUCUGAAAAAUGUUUCCAGGUGUGCUCUUACCAGUACAAGUGAUACAAGAAUUAGUAAGCGUGAUGCGCAAGGUAACCAUUCUCCAUGGAACAGAAUUCCAGAAGACAAAAAGAACACAAUGAGAGAACACAUGAAUUAAUUUCCAUAAAUGGAUUCACACUACAGCAGAAAAUAUACUAGCUGGCAGUACCUUGAAACAAGGAUGCAUGAGCUUUACAAAGAAAGGUGAAAAUGAAUGGAAGAUCACAGCAGAAAAGGAACAUACAUACAGAGAAGUGUACAACACAGAAUUCUACCUGUCAUUCCAUAUGCCUAAAAAGGAUGCAUGCACAUUUUGUGAAGGAUACACCUCUCAGACAGUGGAAAAUCUGAAUGCAUUUGCUGCCCAUCAGUGAAGAAAAUCUCAAUCCAGACAACAUGAAGAAAGAGAUAAAGAAAACGCACAACAAAAUCCACCAUUAAAGGUUGUCACUUGAUCUGGAGCAGGUUUUGACUACUCCCUGGACUAAUGUAAGCAGUUUGUGUUCUGCUCGCAAGUUUAGCACUUAUAACCUAAGAGUUUAUGAAGUAGAAAGUAAAGAUGUUCACUGUUUUAUGUGGCAUGAAGCAGAAGAGGGGUGCAGAUCUUCUAAAGUUAACACCUGUGUUUUUCACUACCUGCAAGCAUUGCAUUCCCAUGUGAAGAAUGUUCUUUUUUCUGACACUUGUGGAGGCCAAAACUGAAAUGUCUUUCGUACAAUGUGCUACAUGCACCAUUUUCUGUGAUUGGCUACAAAUUCAUGGAAUCUGGUCAUAGCCAAAUGGAAUGUGAUAGUGUCCAUGCAGCAGUGGAGACAGCUAGAAAGAGAGUUUCGAUUUACACUCUAGAUGGGUACUAUGCUUUUGUCAGAGCUGCCAGAUCUCAGCCAUACCAUGUGCUCGUAUUGUGUCAUGGGGAUUUCAUAGACUUUAAAUCAUUAGCAAAAGACCGGGUAAAUAACAGAAAAAAUGAUGAAGCUGGACUGGCUGUCAGAUAGCAGAACAUCGUUACAAGAAAUAACAUCCAGGUACAGUUUUGUUCAAAUAUAGUUUGGUUAAUCAGGCUUUCCACAAGAUAACAAUUUUGAACUAAACAAGGGUGCAUCAUUCCAGAAGCAAAGGCGUUGUGGGUAGUUUGUAUGAGAAUGAAUGCAAAUGACUUGCUUUGCAGUGUACCACAACCCUCCCAUGAGGCCUACAGGUCUGUAAAUACUGCUGAAAGUGCACAUAGGUAAAUGAUUUUGAAACAGGACAUAUCAAAUUGGCCAUCUAGCAGUGUUUUGUUUUUUUUUCAGUUGUAUUGCAACUGGAGAAGUUAGCUUUAAAAAUGAUUUGAAAAUGAAAUCAAAGUUAAACUAAAAUGCAUAAAAAAGUGUUUGAUUAUACAGUUGCAAUAAGUUUAAGGUUAGCCAUUAAACUACAAAUGUUAAAAGUACAAAGAAAAUGUACAUUUUCCACAUAUGCCUCUGAUUCUAACUCUGUUUUAUCUAUGGGUAUCAAUUCCAAUUUGUGCUAAUGUGGCAUAUAUCUGACUUCUAAGCAACAUUUCUGAUGCUGUUCAUAGUUUUUAAAGUUUAAAAUGUCUAAAUGUUGGAAACCCUUUAAUUUUGUUGAAGAUAAUAAUGUCACUUAACACCCCUCUGGUUCUGAACCCACGAGUGGCUAAAGAUAUAAAACUAAGAGGGGUGGCACAGCUUGCAUGCUUACAACGUAAUGACCAUCUCUGUACCUUUUGAACUUAAAGAGCCCUGGUAUUUUAUAUCAAGUACAUUACUAUCUGAAUAUUAUAAACUCUGCUUGAUGACAAUUUUCGUGUUUAUUUGUAUAACAUUAUGUAUAAAUGACUCUAACAAAAAUAUAUCAUGCAAAGAAAACCAAUGUAUAAAUGACACGUGAAAUAAAUAACUAUUGUACAGAA